CAGCAUUCACUUCGGUGAGAUGGCGACCGGCGCACGGGUGCGUAACGCGUAUGCAACCUACCCUUUACUGAGGGAUAGCCCGGAGAAAUUCGGAUUAAUACCUCAUGGUAUCAUCAGAUGGCAUCUGAAGAUGAUUAAAGAUUUAUCGGUAAAGGAUGGGCAUGCGUGACAUUAGUUAGUUGGUGAGGUAACGGCUCACCAAGGCGACGAUGUCUAGGGGUUCUGAGAGGAUUAUCCCCCACACUGGCACUGAGAUACGGGCCAGACUCCUACGGGAGGCAGCAGUAGGGAAUAUCGGUCAAUGGGCGAGAGCCUGAACCAGCCAUGCCGCGUGCAGGAAGACGGCCUUCUGGGUUGUAAACUGCUUUUAUCAGGGAACAAAUAGGCCAUGCGUGGCAAGUUGAGUGUACCUGAAGAAUAAGCACCGGCUAACUCCGUGCCAGCAGCCGCGGUAAUACGGAGGGUGCAAGCGUUGUCCGGAUUUAUUGGGUUUAAAGGGUGCGUAGGCGGUCGAUUAAGUCAGUGGUGAAAGCCCACAGCUCAACUGUGGAACUGCCAUUGAUACUGGUUGACUUGAGUACAGACGAGGUAGGCGGAAUUUAUGGUGUAGCGGUGAAAUGCAUAGAUACCUUAAAGAACACCUAUAGCGAAGGCAGCUUACUAGACUGUAACUGACGCUGAGGCACGAAAGCGUGGGGAGCGAACAGGAUUAGAUACCCUGGUAGUCCACGCCGUAAACGAUGAUUACUCGAUGUGUGCGAUAUUACAGUACGCGUCCCAGCGAAAGCGUUAAGUAAUCCACCUGGGGAGUACGCUCGCAAGAGUGAAACUCA
RNAcentral lists this ribosomal RNA (833 nucleotides) under uncultured bacterium. RNAcentral describes it as "bacterial SSU rRNA". It matches the Rfam family "Bacterial small subunit ribosomal RNA", at positions 70 to 903 of the family's 1533-position model. The record is from RNAcentral.